GACGGACGCUGGCGGCGUGCUUAACACAUGCAAGUCGAACGGAAAGGCCCCUUCGGGGGUACUCGAGUGGCGAACGGGUGAGUAACACGUGAGUAACCUGCCCUUGACUUCGGGAUAACUUCAGGAAACUGGGGCUAAUACCGGAUAGGAAUCCUUGCUGCAUGGUGGGGGUUGGAAAGCUUCGGCGGUUUUGGAUGGACUCGCGGCUUAUCAGCUUGUUGGUGGGGUAGUGGCUUACCAAGGCCUUGACGGGUAGCCGGCCUGAGAGGGCGACCGGCCACAUUGGGACUGAGAUACGGCCCAGACUCCUACGGGAGGCAGCAGUGGGGAAUAUUGCACAAUGGGCGGAAGCCUGAUGCAGCAACGCCGUGUGCGGGAUGACGGCCUUCGGGUUGUAAACCGCUUUCAGCAGGGGCGAAGCUUGUGGUGACGGUACCUGCAGAAGAAGCACCGGCUAACUACGUG
Molecule: ribosomal RNA, 465 nt
Filed under: uncultured bacterium
Lineage: Bacteria
Description: partial 16S ribosomal RNA
Rfam family: Bacterial small subunit ribosomal RNA
Source: RNAcentral